This is a long non-coding RNA of Chelonia mydas (Green sea turtle), 1837 nucleotides long. RefSeq lists it as uncharacterized. NCBI's taxonomy places the organism in Eukaryota, Metazoa, Chordata, Testudines, Cheloniidae. The record is from RefSeq and is a predicted model, not a curated record. The transcript has 8 exons.
UUAAACCCUAUAGUGUCGUAGCCAUGAAGGAGUUAAUAGGCAGAACAGUUACCUUCCCAGAUGUGACAAAAUGGCUGACCAGCAACAGCUGAGAGACAAGGCUGCUCCUAGAAAGAAAAGCCUCUUAGCAAGAGAAUAGUGCAGAGGAACAGAGCUCUACACCCAGGGAACCUUCCAGAAAAGGGAACUUAAUGAGAGACCUCCCAGAUAGCUGGAGGAGGCCUACCCUGCAAGGGGUUGUGUGCUGCUAGGGAGCCUAAGGGGGCUCUGUGUGAGCCUGAAGGUUGGAAGCGGCCCAGGAAAGCACAGUGUAUGGGCCAGAGGUCAUCUGCCUCAUCUCCCAGCUGUCAUCCUGAACAGAAUCUGAGGAUCGAGGACAAGACAUCUGAUGGGGUCAUCUUGCUGACAUGUAAUGAGAGCAGUUUUCACCUAUCCUACAUCUUCGGGAGCACAUCUUCAUGUGGUGUUAAUAUAGAGCCGGACAUGUGCAUGAUACUUCGUACUGCCCUGUUGGAAAUCUGCAUUCUCAGAGAUGUCAUUUCCCACAGGAAAAGUCUGUAUAUCCAUAACAAUGGGUAUCCCUCCAUUUGCAGCUUCCUGGAGGCAGAACCUGACCUGUCAGUCAAGGCAGGUUAGAAGUGGCCACACCCAUGAAUAUUUCCUUCUCUACCCCUCAGUUCAUUCUCAUUACAACAGACACAGAAAGGCACUAGCAGAGCUCCCCCUUUGAUUCUACAACAAAAUAACUUGUUGGGCUACCUUAUUUAGCCAUGUAGGAGCCAGGAGGGUUUGACAGGAGUUUCUCCACCUCCACUCUCUGGCUGUAACCCUCCCCCUAAAGCUGGAGAAGGCAAAACCCAAACAGAAGGGUUGCAGGCAGGCUUUUCCAGACUCUCACAAGCCAACCCAACUCUAAAAGGGAUGUUUCUUCCUAUUAUUUGGUUUAUUGCAUUUUACUGAAUUGUCUUUUAGCCUAAGGGCUCUUCAGAUAGUUUGCUUGAAAUCCCCUCUUCUAAUGCUGAGGUAACUGCAUGCACCAGCUUCCAGUGAAUUGGUAAGCUUCUCAGGUAGCUGCACCACACAGGCACCCCAAGGCACAAGGAUGCUGGCAGGAAAGGGUGCAAAAUCUUCUGGGCUGCCAACCCCAGCUCCUGGUGAGGGCCACCAUGCCCCAUUGACUAGACUGCCAUCCUCAGCCCCUGCUGAGGGCCACCAUGUAUCACCAGUCAUCCACAGCUCCUGCUAUGGGUCAGCAUGCUCAUCGCUUCUUCACCCUCCUCCAAGCAACAAAAUGUAGAAGGACAAGAAGAACAGCCCAAAUUUGGAACAACAAGGAAGUGGCUAAUGGAGCAUCUGUAAAGUUCAAAGAGCUCACUUAUGAAUCAUCUCAAAAGAGCAUGCAGCAGUAAGCCACCUGUCCAACCUCUUCUGAAUAACAGAUCAACACUAAAAAUUAUGGAUGGAUGACACAGCAAUUCAGCUUGAUUUUGCUAGAAUCUUCAAAAUCCAGCACCCCUUUCCACAAAUCUGCAGCUGCAAAUGUUUCAAGCCUCCCUCCUCCGUCCCAAAGGCUAUCUCAGAUAAGGUGGCAAAAAAGAACGCACGCGCGAUGAAAUGUUCUCCGAGUCAUGCAGUCGUCCGGCACUGACAGAGCUCAGCAGAAUGUGUGGAGGGACACAAUAGCAGAGUAGAGGAAAGCAGCUGAUGAACGUCAGGAGAGGUGGCAGCAGGAAGAUCAGAGGAGGCAUGAGGCAACGCUGAGGCUACUGCGGGAUCAAACGGACAUGCUCCGGUGGAGGUUCAUGAACAGCAGCAGGAUCACAGACUGCCACUGCAG